UAGUUUAUAAAUGUUAUUAAGUAACGUCCUGCCAAACCCGUCCUGUAAAAAAAAACCCAUUUAUUUUAUUAAUGUUGAUCUUAUUUAUGAUAUGUUUAUGAAUCAUUGUCUAAAUAUUUUGUAAUUUUGUAGUAAUUAAAUGCUAUCAGAUUAUAUCUCUGCGCUUUGAUGAUUAUAAUCGAAUUGUUAUAGUUAUGGAGAAAAGCAAUAUCAAAAAUGAUAAUUUUGUAGUAAUUAAAUGAUAUUAAAUAUUUUGGAAGU
Molecule: small RNA, 261 nt
Filed under: Arabidopsis thaliana (thale cress)
Lineage: Eukaryota; Viridiplantae; Streptophyta; Magnoliopsida; Brassicales; Brassicaceae
Description: ATSL099120
Source: RNAcentral